ACCUGCCCUAUGAUUAAAAAUUAAAUGGCUGCGGUAUUUUGACCGUGCAAAGGUAGCAUAAUAAUUAGUUUUUUAAUUGGGAACUGGUAUGAAAGGUCGAACGAGAAAGAAACUGUCUCAAUUUAAUUUAAAUUAGAAUUUUAUUUUUAAGUAAAAAAGCUUAAAUAUAUUUAAAAGACGAGAAGACCCUAUAGAGUUUUAUAUUAAGAUAAUUAUGUAGGAAAUUAAAGGAUUAUUUUUUUUAUAAUUAUUAAAAUAUUUGGUUGGGGCGAUUGAAAAAUUUAAUAAACUUUUUUUAAAUUAUAACAUUGAUUUAUGAAUAAGUGAUCCAUAUUUAAUGAUUAUAAGAUUAAAUUA
RNAcentral lists this ribosomal RNA (357 nucleotides) under Nanos dubitatus. Its description in RNAcentral is "partial 16S ribosomal RNA". The record is from RNAcentral. Lineage: Eukaryota; Metazoa; Arthropoda; Insecta; Coleoptera; Scarabaeidae.